UACGGAGGAUGCGAGCGUUAUCCGGAUUUAUUGGGUUUAAAGGGUGCGUAGGCGGACUGUCAAGUCAGCGGUAAAAUUGAGAGGCUCAACCUCUUCCCGCCGUUGAAACUGGUGGUCUUGAGUGGAUGAGAAGUACGCGGAAUGCGUGGUGUAGCGGUGAAAUGCUUAGAUAUCACGCAGAACUCCGAUUGCGAAGGCAGCGUACCGGCAUCCAACUGACGCUGAGGCACGAAAGCGUGGGGAUCAAAAAGG
Molecule: ribosomal RNA, 252 nt
Filed under: uncultured bacterium
Lineage: Bacteria
Description: partial 16S ribosomal RNA
Rfam family: Bacterial small subunit ribosomal RNA
Source: RNAcentral